AUUAGAUACCCUGGUAGUCCACGCUGUAAACGAUGUCUACUAGCCGUCGGGUCCUUAGUGACUUUGGUGGCGCAGCUAACGCGAUAAGUAGACCGCCUGGGGAGUACGGCCGCAAGGUUAAAACUCAAAUGAAUUGACGGGGGCCGCACAAGCGGUGGAGCAUGUGGUUUAAUUCGAUGCAACGCGAAGAACCUUACCAGGUCUUGACAUCCUCGGAACUUGGCAGAGAUGCCUUGGUGCCUUCGGGAGCCGAGUGACAGGUGCUGCAUGGCCGUCGUCAGCUCGUGUCGUGAGAUGUUGGGUUAAGUCCCGUAACGAGCGCAACCCUUGUCCUUAGUUGCCAGCACGUCAUGGUGGGAACUCUAGGGAGACUGCCGGUGACAAACCGGAGGAAGGUGGGGACGACGUCAGGUCAUCAUGGCCCUUACGACCUGGGCUACACACGUGCUACAAUGGCUGGUACAGAGGGUUGCUAAGUCGCGAGGCGGAGCUAAUCCCUUAAAGCCAGUCGUAGUCCGGAUCGGAGUCUGCAACUCGACUCCGUGAAGUCGGAAUCGCUAGUAAUCGCGGAUCAGAAUGCCGCGGUGAAUACGUUCCCGGGCCUU
RNAcentral lists this ribosomal RNA (605 nucleotides) under uncultured Gammaproteobacteria bacterium. Its description in RNAcentral is "bacterial SSU rRNA". It matches the Rfam family "Bacterial small subunit ribosomal RNA", at positions 777 to 1382 of the family's 1533-position model. Lineage: Bacteria; Pseudomonadati; Pseudomonadota; Gammaproteobacteria. The record is from RNAcentral.